GACGAACGCUGGCGGCGUGCCUAAUACAUGCAAGUAGAACGCUGAAGGAGGAGCUUGCUUCUCUGGAUGAGUUGCGAACGGGUGAGUAACGCGUAGGUAACCUGCCUGGUAGCGGGGGAUAACUAUUGGAAACGAUAGCUAAUACCGCAUAAGAGUAGAUGUUGCAUGACAUUUGCUUAAAAGGUGCAAUUGCACCACUACCAGAUGGACCUGCGUUGUAUUAGCUAGUUGGUGGGGUAACGGCUCACCAAGGCGACGAUACAUAGCCGACCUGAGAGGGUGAUCGGCCACACUGGGACUGAGACACGGCCCAGACUCCUACGGGAGGCAGCAGUAGGGAAUCUUCGGCAAUGGACGGAAGUCUGACCGAGCAACGCCGCGUGAGUGAAGAAGGUUUUCGGACCGUAAAGCUCUGUUGUAAGAGAAGAACGAGUGUGAGAGUGGAAAGUUCACACUGUGACGGUAUCUUACCAGAAAGGGACGGCUAACUACGUGC
RNAcentral lists this ribosomal RNA (496 nucleotides) under uncultured Streptococcus sp. RNAcentral's name for it is "bacterial SSU rRNA". It matches the Rfam family "Bacterial small subunit ribosomal RNA", at positions 28 to 508 of the family's 1533-position model. The record is from RNAcentral. Lineage: Bacteria; Bacillati; Bacillota; Bacilli; Lactobacillales; Streptococcaceae.